UCUCCGUUGGUGAACCAGCGGAGGGAUCAUUACCGAGUUUACAACUCCCAAACCCCUGUGAACAUACCUGUUUUGUUGCUUCGGCGGUGCCCUCGCUCUCGCGGCGAGGCCCGCCAGAGGACCCCAACAAACUCUUUGACUUUGAUCUAGGAUUAUACUUCUGAGUGAUACAAAAAAUAAAAUCAAAACUUUCAACAACGGAUCUCUUGGUUCUG
Molecule: unclassified non-coding RNA, 215 nt
Filed under: plant metagenome
Description: partial contains small subunit ribosomal RNA, internal transcribed spacer 1, and 5.8S ribosomal RNA
Source: RNAcentral